UGGGGAAUAUUGGACAAUGGGCGAAAGCCUGAUCCAGCAAUGCCGCGUGUGUGAAGAAGGCCUGCGGGUUGUAAAGCACUUUCGUGAGGGAGGAAGGCAUUAGGUUUAAUAAACCUAAUGAUUGACGUUACCUCAAGAAGAAGCACCGGCUAACUCUGUGCCAGCAGCCGCGGUAAUACAGAGGGUGCAAGCGUUAAUCGGAAUUACUGGGCGUAAAGGGUGCGUAGGUGGCAAUGUAAGUUAGGUGUGAAAUCCUCGGGCUUAACCUGAGAAUUGCGCUUAAUACUGCUUUGCUAGAGUACUGCAGAGGGUAGUGGAAUUUCCAGUGUAGCGGUGAAAUGCGUAGAUAUUGGAAGGAACAUCAGUGGCGAAGGCGACUGCCUGGAUAGAUACUGACACU
This 400-nucleotide ribosomal RNA is filed under the name uncultured bacterium. RNAcentral's name for it is "bacterial SSU rRNA". It matches the Rfam family "Bacterial small subunit ribosomal RNA", at positions 355 to 747 of the family's 1533-position model. The record is from RNAcentral.